UACGUAGGGUGCGAGCGUUGUCCGGAAUUAUUGGGCGUAAAGGGCUCGUAGGCGGUUUGUCGCGUCGGGAGUGAAAACCUUGGGCUUAACUCAGGGCUUGCUUUCGAUACGGGCAGACUAGAGGUAUGCAGGGGAGAACGGAAUUCCUGGUGUAGCGGUGAAAUGCGCAGAUAUCAGGAGGAACACCGGUGGCGAAGGCGGCAUCCUGGACCGAUAUUGACGCUGAUGCGCGAAAGCCAGGGGAGCAAACGGG
RNAcentral lists this ribosomal RNA (253 nucleotides) under uncultured bacterium. RNAcentral describes it as "partial 16S ribosomal RNA". It matches the Rfam family "Bacterial small subunit ribosomal RNA", at positions 524 to 776 of the family's 1533-position model. The record is from RNAcentral.